GAGGCGGCUGAGGCGGGGCGGAGGGGGUCGGUCGGAACGAGGCGGGGCGUCGAGGGGGCAUCGCCUCACGGGGCGUCGGAGCUACGCGACGGUGCGGCCGGGCGGGGCGGCGACGGU
RNAcentral lists this ribosomal RNA (117 nucleotides) under Streptomyces sp. PVA_94-07. Lineage: Bacteria; Bacillati; Actinomycetota; Actinomycetes; Kitasatosporales; Streptomycetaceae. The record is from RNAcentral.